RNAcentral lists this ribosomal RNA (207 nucleotides) under uncultured delta proteobacterium. Its description in RNAcentral is "partial 16S ribosomal RNA". It matches the Rfam family "Bacterial small subunit ribosomal RNA", at positions 568 to 774 of the family's 1533-position model. The record is from RNAcentral. Lineage: Bacteria; Deltaproteobacteria.
CGUGUAGGCGGCCUUGCAAGUUGGGUGUGAAAGCCCUCGGCUUAACCGAGGAAGUGCGCCCAAAACUACGAGGCUUGAGUGCCGGAGAGGGUGGCGGAAUUCCCGGUGUAGAGGUGAAAUUCGUAGAUAUCGGGAGGAACACCAGCGGCGAAGGCGGCCACCUGGACGGUAACUGACGCUGAGACGCGAAAGCGUGGGGAGCAAACA